UGUAAGGAUGGAAACAAACACUUCUGUUUCUGAACCAGAGUGGGUUCUCAGAGUCUUGGCUUUCUUUCUGCAGCCUGUCUGCCUCCUAAGCAGCUGAGAUUGUUUCCCCACUACAGAUGAGUGAUAAGCUGACUGCACCCUCACGGAUAAUUCUAUCAACUCCUGGGACCAUCGCAUAGAGGGUGCUUGAGACAUGCUGCACUGGACGAUGCACACACCCCAUCUCUCCAACAUGACUAGGCCACCAGGAUGCAUCACAGUCCUGACCCCAAUGCAGGAGACUGAAAGUCACCAAGGACUGAGACAUGCUGUCGAGCCACAAUCAGAAGAGAAACUGGAGUUGAAGAAGAGCCAGGUCUGGCCACACAGAGAAGUGAAAACCUCCAUUUAAUGGUCAGAGGCAAAGUACAAAGUUAGGCAUCAGAGAAGUGUUCCGUUUUGGUCACUAUUAUUUCUUAAGAAUCUUUCUGAACACUCCAGAACUAAAGGACUAGAAGUCCAGGGCCCUUGCUCUCAGUGUCUGAUUAGCUGCUGUCAUCUGCCUCGAAAGCUGCCCCAUGGUUUUUUCCAUCCUUGCUAGCAGCACAAACCAACUGGUUUAGCCUAACAUUGAUAAAACUACAGAAUCUCAGAUUUGGAAGGAUGCUUUUAAAGCAAAUAGCCAAGCUCCUAGCUAAUUUUCUAAUUUUGUUGCUACAAGAAUAAAGAAUUUAAUGUGGGUGUGGA
RNAcentral lists this long non-coding RNA (726 nucleotides) under Homo sapiens (human). RNAcentral's name for it is "HSALNT0364790". Lineage: Eukaryota; Metazoa; Chordata; Mammalia; Primates; Hominidae. The record is from RNAcentral.